RNAcentral lists this ribosomal RNA (1956 nucleotides) under Triticum aestivum (bread wheat). RNAcentral describes it as "partial small subunit ribosomal RNA". The record is from RNAcentral. Lineage: Eukaryota; Viridiplantae; Streptophyta; Magnoliopsida; Poales; Poaceae.
AUGGAGUUUGCUGUGGCGGCAUUUAGCGCGGUAGCUGGCGUCGCCGUGUCGAAGCUAAACAGUGUGAAGGGGAGGCCGAACACCGAUGCUAGGAGCAUCAGUGCGGAUCUCAACUCGAUCAAAGCUACCAUGCUAGAUCAUGCAGACCAUGUCCGGCCUAUGAGUUUCUUGCGGGCAGAAUAUUUUGCACAACUGAGGGCCUUGGCAUGUGACAUCGAAGACUGUAUAGACUGCUUCAACGCCAAGAUGACGACCGAUGCUGAUUUUGCAGACGAAAUUGCCCGACUCAAGGAGAGCUCAAAGGAAACGACUGACCGGAUACAUAGGUUUGGCUUUAUUCCUGUACAAGGGGCUGCAGCACAAGAGUCUGCUGUUGCUGUCCCCGCAGAGAUUGAGAAUCUUCAGUGUUUGAUGAGGGGUAAACAUGAUGCUGAUUACCUCAACUGCUUGCUAUAUUUCUGCUUGUUCCCACCUAAUUAUCAUGUCAGGACUAAGCCCCUGAUGAGGAGAUGGACGGCGGAAGGGCUAGUAGGAAGAGAACAAUCCGCAGUCAGCAAUUUGGACAAGUUCAUGGAGUCCAGUAUCAUCAGGUCCACCCAGAAAAGCAGCAAUGGGAAGGUGAAGAGAUGCCAGCCUACUGGCGACACGAUUCGUCAGUACAUCUCCCAACGGUCCAUGUCCGAGAAUUUCAUACUGUUAUGUCACGGUGCGGCCGCCGAAAUGCCGGAGGGACACCCUCGCAGGCUAUCUGUGCAUCCUUGUGCAAAUGUCCCACUGAAUUUGCCUGAGAGUUUAUCUGAUGUCCGGACGUUGGCGGUAUUCUCUACUGCUGCGGGGGAUCUCGAUGAACAUGUUCUACGUUUUGCCAAUUAUAGAGUGCUGCGAGUGCUGGAUCUAAAAGAAUGUGCUCACCUGAGUGAUGGCCAUAUUCAGGCUAUCUACAACCAGGAGCUGAUGAAAUACCUGAGCAUCAAAUCGGGCAUCAUUGAUCGGGUUCCAAGGGAAAUCGGGAAGCUGAAUCAGCUAGAGACACUCGACCUGAGUGGAAGCCCAAAUUGUGACGAUGCUGAUGGAAUAGUGACGGUGUACAAAGAAGUCCUCCUGCUGCCCAAACUGAAGCACCUCCUUGGCAGGUUCCAGCUUUCUAGAAGGGAUUUCUUUGUUUGGAGAUCAGAUGUAGAGAGGUUUCUCAGAGCUAAUAAGAGUGUGCUGGAGACGCUGUCAGGAUUUGUCGUCGGUGGGAGAAAUGGAUUUCAACAGCUGCUGAGUCUUAUGCGGCGGUUGCGGAAGGUGAAGAUAUGGUGCAAAUCCGACGCAAGCCAAGAAAACCUGGGUGUUCUUUCAAGCGCCAUUACUCAAUACAUCAGCGAUGGCGCUGGAGCGCCUCAUCUUAAGCGGUCCCUGUCGAUCGACUUCGGAGCAUGCCCAAGAGAGUUCGUGGAUGAAAUAGACGCAGUGGCGGGCAAGCUCGAUUCGCUCAAGCUGCGUGGUCAAUUGAGCCGCCUCCCUCCGUUUGUUGCAGAGCUUAGUGCACUCGAGGAGCUCUGCCUUUGGUCGACUGGCCUGCGUUGGGAGGUUAUUCGAGAAGGGCUGAGCUUCGUGGGGGGACUGAAAUAUCUCAAGCUUAUUGAAGACAACCUCGGGCUCAUCGACAUAUGGUAUGAUCACCUCAUAAGCAUUGAGCGGUUAUCCAUCGUGUUCAAUGAUCCAAUGCUAAUAGACAUAACAAUCCAAGAUGGCGCGCUGCCUUGUCUUGUGUCGUUUCAUAUCAUCUGUCCACAGCUGCUCCUUCUUCCUGGAAGAGCACUUGGCAUCAAAAUCGCACACAUGACUCAGCUGAAUGAAGUCGCACUCCAUCCUGACGUCGACGUUGGAAUAAAAGCUGAAUGGCAACGCGCCGUCGACGGCCAUACAAAUAGGCCUGUACCCGUCCUUUUGUCCAUUGAAGGACCCUGA